CUGCAUGCUUAGGCUAGCCCUUGUGUGCAUCCAUGUUGCGGUAUGCUUCCAAUCGGUUAAGAGGAAAUCCAUCUUGUACAAUGCAUACCUGUUGGGAAGCAUAAAGCACUCUGGUGAAUCACUUUGGGAAUUAAUGGUUGUGCCAAAAAUUGGUACCAGAUCAUAGGUUGUUCUUCCAUUAUUUUCAAAAAAGCAAGUACAAGAUCAUGGUGUUACUGAAGUGAGAAGAUAAUUGAUCUAUAAUCCAGUUGUGUCAAGCCUGCAUCAAUGGUGUUUGCAAUGAUCAAAUAUCCCCCUCUUUUGUAGUAUUGACAAAAACCGUGCCAAUGUUGCUACAGUUUCAUCACCAAAAAUGAGAACCCGGUUUUGGUAAAUUAAUUUGUGCAAUAAUAUGUUCAUUACUGAUCCUGAACGAGGAGUAAACAGAUUAGUUUCUAAAGCUUCUCUGUUGGGAUGCAUAGGCCAGAAGGACAGCUAGAGUCGCCGCCAUCGCUUAUGGAGCUCCACACCAUUGCCCAGUUGUACAAUAACAUGCGCAAUCUUCUCCAUUCAAGACUAAAUGCAACUGGUGAACUCUUCGCCAAACAAGAUAUGAGGAUCAGGCAUAUAGGCCCCAUAAGGUAGCUAUAUAGUAAUUUAUGUGUAGUAGUGUGGAUCAUGGUCACAUUUUGUCUAGGACUGCAGAUAUCUAUGUCAAUAAAAAUGGAUAUUCUGCAUAUUCUUCUGAAUUUUUUUGAGAACUAUUCUUCUGAAUUUUUAGUAAGGGCUUCAUGUAUAAGGUAUGCAGUACUUCUGACUUAAAGAAUUGAUCAAUUCUUCACAUGCAGGAACGUGGAGAGAUGGAUCUGGUGGAUUGUAGCCACAAGGUGAGUGGCUUGAUCCUUAAUUAAUCCAGUUAAAUUUCAUAGAUUAUUGAUUAGUUUCUUAGCAAGAAGGGGAGCCUUGGCGCAGUGGUAAAGCUGCUGCCUUGUGACCAUGAAAACAGCCUCUUACAGAAAUGUAGGGAAAGGCUGCGUACAACAGACCCAAAGUGGUCGGACCCUUCCCCAGACCCUGCGCAAGCGGGAGCUACAUGCACUGGGGCUGCCCUUUAUUGAUUAGUUUCUUAGCAAGCAAAUUUCUAUACAUCAGAUUGGAGGGAUACUGCUGUAGUAUGUGGGAGAAAGAGUAUGUCUGCACCUGAUGGUGAUCUAAACGCUACAUGGGAAGACUCCUCAAUGGCAAUAAUAUACCAUGAUAAUGAUAAUGAUAUACUCCCUCCGUAAAGAAAUAUAACAGCGUUUAAAACACUUAAACCUAUGCUGAACAGGAGCAAGACAGAAAAGAAUAAGAGAUUCUCUCCAAAUUAAUUACGGAUUGUUUCCAGUGAUUUUAAAUUCCAAGUAAUAAAGGAUAUAAGAUUACAAUUCGUCACCUGGAAAAACAGAUCUUUGUAGUCAUAGCUAUGUCUUCUCCAAGUGACCAUACCCUUACGCAUUUGAUGAAAGUGGAUAUAUCAUCAAGAGCCCUGCAAGCAAAUUUAUCUACAGCAGGAAACACACAAUGAUGACAUAUCAGAUAUUCACCUUCACUAUCUGAAAUGUUUAAUGUUUACUUCCCCUUCUAACGUUAGCUUAUCUAGCAAAUUUCUGUUAUUCUGAAGAUCUAAUUGAUAAGUUUCAAAUAGUACAGGAGUGAGAUAUCCAGCUAUAAUUAGAGUAGGGAUCGACGCUAAUUAAACCUCUUGACACACUCAUUUGAAAGUCAAGUAUAUUUAUGCAGCGACGCCUUAUUACUCCUAAGAAUAUAUCAUUAUUGCUGCUCAUAGGAAGAUAUAUUACACCAUCAGUUGAGUUUAGCUAAAUCUGCAGUUUUCAUUACAAUGCAUGAACCUUAUUUAUCUUGCUUGACAAAAAAAGAGAGGAUGAAGUACCCAUCUUCCAGUCAUCUGGCAAGCAACAGUCUAGUUCAUAUUGCAGACCUUCUUAGCAAGUAUUAUCGAGUGCCAUUGUAUCUUGAAUAACACAAUUUAAGAAGGGGGAAAUAUGUAGAGGGAUUUUGAAUAGCACAUCACACAGAGGCACACCUGAUUGAAAUUACAUUUGUACAUUAGUACAUGGUAAACGUACAGUAUGAAUUAAAACUUAAUUGCAAAGAUAGGAUAAUCCAGACACGAAGUAAUGUCUAAGGACUAAGAUCAAGUCAGAAUUAAUCCUGAUGGUUAAUACAGAGAUGAGAAUUCAUUUCAUAACAUUAAUAUAUUAUUGACUUGUGCAAAUUGCAAAAUAAUCAAUCAGUACACUAAGGAAAGCUGGAGCUGAGCCGUGAGAAUCAAUUAGAGAGAUAAAAUGUGAGAACAUGCAAUGGCCAUAUAUUACUGGCUCCUACACAUCUUCGCGGAGGCUGGUGAGCUGGCUGGGAGGUGGCCGUAUCUCACUGGCUCCUGCACAUCUCCACGGCUCAGCUAUACCUUUCCUUUGUGUGCUCAAGCUCAGAGCAUUUUGAAGCGAUCUAUUAGCUCAUUCCACAAGCAACAGAGAGAAGGAAGCAACAAUUGAUUUGCUCAUAC
Molecule: long non-coding RNA, 2548 nt
Filed under: Triticum aestivum (bread wheat)
Lineage: Eukaryota; Viridiplantae; Streptophyta; Magnoliopsida; Poales; Poaceae
Description: long non-coding RNA (TAES_LNC026218)
Source: RNAcentral